RNAcentral lists this ribosomal RNA (450 nucleotides) under uncultured bacterium. RNAcentral's name for it is "partial 16S ribosomal RNA". It matches the Rfam family "Bacterial small subunit ribosomal RNA", at positions 354 to 796 of the family's 1533-position model. The record is from RNAcentral.
GCGGGGAAUAUUGGACAAUGGGCGAAAGCCUGAUCCAGCCAUGCCGCGUGUGUGAAGAAGGUCUUCGGAUUGUAAAGCACUUUAAGUUGGGAGGAAGGGCAGUAAGUUAAUACCUUGCUGUUUUGACGUUACCGACAGAAUAAGCACCGGCUAACUUCGUGCCAGCAGCCGCGGUAAUACGAAGGGUGCAAGCGUUAAUCGGAAUUACUGGGCGUAAAGCGCGCGUAGGUGGUUUUGUAAGUUGGAGGUGAAAUCCCCGGGAUCAACCUGGGAACUGCCACCAAAACUGCAUGACUAGAGUACGGUAGAGGGUAGUGAAAUUUCCUGUGUAGCGGUGAAAUGCGUAGAUAUAGGAAGGAACACCAGUGGCGGAGGCGACUACCUGGACUGAUACUGACACUGAGGUGCGAAAGAGUGGGGAGCAAACAGGAUUAGAUACCCUUGUAGUCC